UACAGGGGGGGCAAGCGUUGUUCGGAAUUACUGGGCGUAAAGGGUCUGUAGGUGGCCAACUAAGUCAGACGUGAAAUCCCUCAGCUUAACUGGGGAACUGCGUCUGAUACUGGAUGGCUCGAGUGUGGGAGAGGAAUGCGGAAUUCCAGGUGUAGCGGUGAAAUGCGUAGAUAUCUGGAGGAAUACCGGUGGCGAAGGCGGCAUCCUGGACCAUUACUGACGCUGAAUCGCGAAAGCUAGGGGAGCAAACGGG
RNAcentral lists this ribosomal RNA (253 nucleotides) under uncultured bacterium. RNAcentral's name for it is "partial 16S ribosomal RNA". It matches the Rfam family "Bacterial small subunit ribosomal RNA", at positions 524 to 776 of the family's 1533-position model. The record is from RNAcentral.